CCUACGGGAAGGCAGCAGUGGGGAAUCUUGCGCAAUGGGCGAAAGCCUGACGCAGCAACGCCGCGUGCGGGAAGAAGGCCUUCGGGUUGUAAACCGCUUUCAGCAGGAACGAAAAUGACGGUACCUGCAGAAGAAGGAGCGGCCAACUACGUGCCAGCAGCCGCGGUGACACGUAGGCUCCAAGCGUUGUCCGGAUUUAUUGGGCGUAAAGAGCUCGUAGGCGGUUCAGUAAGUCGGGUGUGAAAACUCUGGGCUCAACCCAGAGCCUGCAUUCGAAACUGCUGUGACUAGAGUUUGGUAGGGGAGCGGGGAAUUCCUAGUGUAGCGGUGAAAUGCGCAGAUAUUAGGAGGAACACCGGUGGCGAAAGCGCCGCUCUGGGCCAAUACUGACGCUGAGGAGCGAAAGCGUGGGUAGCAAACAGGAUUAGAUACCCUGGUAGUCCACGCCGUAAACGAUGGGCACUAGGUGUGGGUUUCAACUAACGAAAUCCGUGCCGUCGCUAACGCAUUAAGUGCCCCGCCUGGGGUAGGUACGGUCGCAGACAAACUACAAGAAUAGAGCGNGAGACGNGCGACGCGACACGAGGAGAG
Molecule: ribosomal RNA, 591 nt
Filed under: uncultured bacterium
Lineage: Bacteria
Description: bacterial SSU rRNA
Rfam family: Bacterial small subunit ribosomal RNA (bases 1-522)
Source: RNAcentral